GGAGUUGUUGACCUUACAGCGAUAGAUUCAAUUACUUCUUUAUUUGAAGCGGGAAGGAAUGUUCUUUUUGCGCGCAGGAAGUUGGCUUAGAGUCUCUUUCUUCUGUAAUUCUGUAAUAAAGUGAGGGAAAAGUCGGUAGAUACGAGUGGCCUCGCUCACUACUAGAAGGAAUGGAAUUAACCACGAAGCUAUCAGGCAAGCAGUGUAACUAGUGGGCAAUUUCGAUUAGAAGAAAAUCACCAAAAGAUUCAAAAAAGUGAACAACAAGAGAUCUUUCCACUAUACUGACUCAGUACACACACAGUAGAGGAAAGCCUACUUCAUUCUAUCUGUUCUUAUUAAGGAUUGAGCUGUUCUUAUUAAGGAU
RNAcentral lists this long non-coding RNA (367 nucleotides) under Musa acuminata (dwarf banana). RNAcentral's name for it is "long non-coding RNA (MACU_LNC007494)". The record is from RNAcentral. Lineage: Eukaryota; Viridiplantae; Streptophyta; Magnoliopsida; Zingiberales; Musaceae.